RNAcentral lists this unclassified non-coding RNA (368 nucleotides) under Hevea brasiliensis (rubber tree). The record is from RNAcentral. Lineage: Eukaryota; Viridiplantae; Streptophyta; Magnoliopsida; Malpighiales; Euphorbiaceae.
CUUGGUUCUCUGGCAAAGUCACAGCAUCCUUUUUAGCCUGACAUUUCCCUUUAGGAAGGACAGUAGAGUCUGGAGCUGAUUUUACUUUCCAUGCUUCGUUUAUUUCGACCAGUAAACGGGUUACAUCAUCAUAGAGGAGUUUCACUUUUCGUUCGUAAACAAUAACAACUCCACCCAUUAGAAUCCCAGAGAGCCUAAGCGCCAUUGGAACAGAGGGAUUCAAAAUCUGUUCACAGAUUUGAAUUAUGUUGAGCUUAUUAAGUUUCUUCCGAUUUAUUUUCGCAUGCAUGGUUGCAGCCAUCCUUUACACACACACAGAGAUUCAAGUUAAAACCCACGUAGUAUUACAGAGAAAACAACUUCAAAAA